UUGAGUUUAAUUUUAUUUAAUAAGUUUAUAAAGUUUUAUUUAAACUUAAAAAUUUAGUUUAAUUUUAAUUUAAAUGUAAAUUUUAGUGUAAUAAUUUUAAAUAAUAAAUUAGUUUGCAAUAAAUAAUUUUAAAUAUUAAAGAAAUUUAGAUUUAGUAAUAAUGAUAGUAUUAACUUAAUUUGUGCCAGCAGUUGCGGUUAUACAAAUAAUACAAUUAAAUUAGUUUAGUUUUAAUAAAUUAGUAGAUUAAAAUUUUUAGGUUAAAUUUAUUAAGUGAAAUUUUAAAUUUAUAAAAGAUUUAGUUUUGAUAAUGAUUUAGGAAAUUUUAUAAGAAACUAGGAUUAGAUACCCUAUUAUAAAAAUGUAAAUUUAAGGACUAAAUUAGUAAUAGUUAUGAUCUUUAAAAUUAAAGAUUUUGGCGGUAUUUUAGUCUAUUCAGAGGAACCUGUUCUGUAAUUGAUAGUCCACGAUUUAAUUUACUUAUUUUUAUUAAUUUACAUAUCGUCGUAGUUUGAAUAUUUUAUAAGAAUUUUAAUAUUCAAGAUUUAAAAUAAUAAAAAAAAUCAGAUCAAGAUGUAGUUUAUAAAUAAGUAGAAAUGGGUUACUAUAAUUUAAUUUUUGAUAAUUAUUUUUAAAGUAAUUUGAAUUAGGAUUUGAAAGUAAUUUUAAUUAAUUUAUUAAAGUGAUUUUAGCUCUAAAAUAUGUACAUAUCGCCCGUCGCUUUCAUUAUAAUGUGAAAUAAGUCGUAACAAAGUAGAUUUACUGGAAAGUGAAUCUAGAUA
RNAcentral lists this non-coding RNA (782 nucleotides) under Plagiodera versicolora (willow leaf beetle). Lineage: Eukaryota; Metazoa; Arthropoda; Insecta; Coleoptera; Chrysomelidae. The record is from RNAcentral.